This 299-nucleotide signal recognition particle RNA is filed under the name Cebus imitator (Panamanian white-faced capuchin). RNAcentral's name for it is "Metazoan signal recognition particle RNA (ENSCCAG00000003850.1)". It matches the Rfam family "Metazoan signal recognition particle RNA". Rfam says of the family: The signal recognition particle (SRP) is a universally conserved ribonucleoprotein. It is involved in the co-translational targeting of proteins to membranes. Lineage: Eukaryota; Metazoa; Chordata; Mammalia; Primates; Cebidae. The record is from RNAcentral.
GCGGGGUGUGGUGGCACGUGCCUGUGGUCCCAGCUACUCGGGAGGCUGAGGUGGGGGGAUCACUUGAGCCCAGGAGUUCUGGGCUGUAAGGCGCUAUGCCGAUCGGGUGUCUGCACUAAGUUCGGCGUCAAUAUGGUGACCUCCCGGGAGCGGGGGACCACCAGGUUACUUAAGGAGGGGUGAACUGGCCCAGCUUGGAAAUGGAGCAGGCCAAAACUCCAGUGCUGAUCAGUAGUAGGAUCUCUCCUUUGAAUAGCCACUGCAUUCCAGCCUGGGCAACACAGUGAGACCCUGUCUCU